GACAAGGAGAGCUGCCCUGUCAUUUUUGGCUACGUGCAGGGCCAUGAGCAGAGCCUGCUGGUGUCCACAGAUGAAGGGAACGAGAACUCUAAGGCCAACCUGGAGGAGGUGGCAGAGGUGGUUCGCAUUGCCAAACAGCUGACCCUGGGCAGGACAGUGGACCCCAAGGACAUUGCCAUCCUCACGCCCUACAAUGCACAGGCCACAGAGAUCAGCAAGAGACUUGUGCGAGAGGGCAUCACGGGAGUAACAGUGUGCUCCAUCACCAAGAGCCAGGGGAGCGAGUGGCGCUAUGUGCUGGUGAGCACCGUCCGCACGCGCCCUGAGAGUGACGUGGACCAGCGGCCGACUAAAGGCUGGCUCAAGAAGUUCCUCGGCUUUGUGGUGGACCCCAACCAAGUGAACGUGGCCAUCACCCGGGCCCAGGAGGGCCUCUGCCUCAUCGGAGACCACCUCCUCCUGCGGUGCUGUCCUCUCUGGCGUCGACUCCUGGACUCCUGUGAGGCCCAGCAGAGCCUUGUGCCCGCUGGCCAGGUGCGGGUCCAGAGGAGGCCAGCCGUGUCUUUCUGAAGAGCCCUGCCCACCCACUGCCCCCAUGCUGCCAGGACUGUAAGGAAAAGUCUCAGGCCUUCCUGAGCCAGACACCUUGGUGGGCCCAACUCAGCAGAAUCCCAUGUGCCUUCAGUGGUCACUGCCAGCCACCAUCCGGCCACCUGGCUGCCUGGGCAGGGGUCUGGAGGCUGGCCGCAAUGGUGCACAAUAACCACAUUCCUGAGUCUUGUCUUCUCCCCAGGCGGGAGCAGGCCAGGCAGUGCCCGGCUGUCAUGUGCAUCAACCUGGGGGGCAGGUCCUGCCCUCCUUGCAGAGCUGAUUUGCUGGGACAUUUGGGGACAGGGAGCAUCUCGGGUGGUGGUGGGGUCCCUGAACCAGCACGACACCUUCGCUGGGAAGGCUUGGGGUCAGGAAGGAAAUCCCGUUGCUCUUUGAUCUUUGGACGCCAUCCCUGACCACACUGGUUUUGGCCAGGGAACUCAGCUUUAUUUUCUAUUUUUAAAUAAACCAAAAGCCAGUUUUUUUUUUUUACUGGAACAGGGUCCACAGCCCACACUCAGGGCAAGGAGGCCUCCCUGGGAGAGAGGUUUUUCUCUGUCACCACUGCCCCGUCUGCUUGGACCCACAGCCUGUGUUCUUGAGGGGCCACUGCCCGGCAGGGGGAGGGCAGACUCGAACCAGAUGGCCACACAGUCUCCCGGACCCGCCCCUCUGGACGUGCCAGGCCGUGCGGUGCUCCUGUGGGCGUGGGUGGGGCGGGAUCAGGUGCCUGGACAGGCACCCAUACUCCCACCCCGAGCUCUGUGUCACCCUGUUUACUCAGGCCUGCUCCCAGGUCAGGGCCUUCGGCACGGCCUGCCCAGUGCAUCUUUCUUUGUGAGAUUGACCUUUGCACACGCAUUUGGGUCCUGCCUGGAAAGCUGUGCCCUCCAUGGCUGGCCCACUCCUGCCCACCCUGAGGCUGCUCUGACUCUGGAAAACAGAGCUUGUGGCAUUGGGCAUGCUGCAAAGGAGCUGUUCACACCGGAGGGGCUCGCCCCACCUGUGGCCCCCCAGCAGACCCCUCU
This 1619-nucleotide long non-coding RNA is filed under the name Equus asinus (donkey). RNAcentral's name for it is "lncRNA (ENSEASG00005038361.1)". Lineage: Eukaryota; Metazoa; Chordata; Mammalia; Perissodactyla; Equidae. The record is from RNAcentral.